CCCUUAGAUGUUCUGGGCUGCACGCGCGCUACACUGAAGCGUUCAACGAGUAUUCACCUUGCCCGGGAGGGUUGGGUAAUCUUUUGAAAACGCUUCGUGAUGGGGAUAGAUUAUUGCAAUUAUUAAUCUUCAACGAGGAAUUCCUAGUAAGCGCGAGUCAUCAGCUCGCGUUGAUUACGCCCCUGCCCUUUGUACACACCGCCCGUCGCUACUACCGAUUGAAUGGUUUAGUGAGAUCUCCGGAUUGGCACCAUCGAGGCUUCACGGCCUUGACGGAAAGUCGAAAAGUUGCUCAAACUUGAUCAUUUAGAGGAAGUAAAAGUCGUAACA
This 330-nucleotide ribosomal RNA is filed under the name uncultured eukaryote. RNAcentral's name for it is "partial 18S ribosomal RNA". It matches the Rfam family "Eukaryotic small subunit ribosomal RNA", at positions 1470 to 1796 of the family's 1831-position model. The record is from RNAcentral.